AACGAACGCUGGCGGCAUGCCUAACACAUGCAAGUCGAACGAGACCUUCUGGUCUAGUGUCGCACGGGUGCGUAACGCGUGGGAACCUGCCCUUAGGUUCGGAAUAACUCCCCGAAAGGGGUGCUAAUACCGGAUAAUGUCUUCGGACCAAAGAUUUAUGGCCUUUGGAUGGGCCCGCGUUGGAUUAGCUAGUUGGUAGGGUAAAAGCCUACCAAGGCGACGAUCCAUAGCUGGUCUGAGAGGAUGAUCAGCCACACUGGGACUGAGACACGGCCCAGACUCCUACGGGAGGAAGCAGUGGGGAAUAUUGGACAAGGGGCGAAAGCCUGCGCCAGAAAUGCGGCGUGAGUGAUGAAGGCCUUAGGGUUGUAAAGCUCUUUUACCCGGGAUGAUAAUGACAGUACCGGGAGAAUAAGCUCCGGCUAACUCCGUG
Molecule: ribosomal RNA, 433 nt
Filed under: uncultured bacterium
Lineage: Bacteria
Description: partial 16S ribosomal RNA
Rfam family: Bacterial small subunit ribosomal RNA
Source: RNAcentral